AGCGAACGCUGGCGGCAGGCCUAACACAUGCCAGUCGAACGAACCUUUCGGGGUUAGUGGCGGACGGGUGAGUAACACGUGGGAACGUGCCGUUAGGUACGGAAUAACUCAGGUAAACUUGUGCUAAUACCGAAUGUGCUCUUCGGGGGAAGGAUUUGUCGCCGUUAGAGCGGCCGGCGACGGUUUAGCCAGUCGGUUGUGGAAAUGGCUCACCAAGGCUACGAUCAGUAGCUGGUCUGAGAGGAUGAUCAGCCACAUUGGGACUGAGACGCGGCCCAAACUCCUACGCGAGGCAGCAGUGGGGAAUCUUGCGAAAUGGGGGAGAGGCUGACGCAGCCAGGCCGGGUGAGUGAUGAAGGUCGUAGGGUUGUAAAAUUCUUUAACAGGGGACGAUAAUGACGGUACCCGGAGAAGAAGCCCCGGCUAACUUCGUG
This 434-nucleotide ribosomal RNA is filed under the name uncultured bacterium. RNAcentral's name for it is "partial 16S ribosomal RNA". It matches the Rfam family "Bacterial small subunit ribosomal RNA", at positions 29 to 507 of the family's 1533-position model. The record is from RNAcentral.